UGCAAGUCGAGCGGACAGAUGGGAGCUUGCUCCCUGAUGUUAGCGGCGGACGGGUGAGUAACACGUGGGUAACCUGCCUGUAAGACUGGGAUAACUCCGGGAAACCGGGGCUAAUACCGGAUGGUUGUUUGAACCGCAUGGUUCAAACAUAAAAGGUGGCUUCGGCUACCACUUACAGAUGGACCCGCGGCGCAUUAGCUAGUUGGUGAGGUAACGGCUCACCAAGGCAACGAUGCGUAGCCGACCUGAGAGGGUGAUCGGCCACACUGGGACUGAGACACGGCCCAGACUCCUACGGGAGGCAGCAGUAGGGAAUCUUCCGCAAUGGACGAAAGUCUGACGGAGCAACGCCGCGUGAGUGAUGAAGGUUUUCGGAUCGUAAAGCUCUGUUGUUAGGGAAGAACAAGUACCGUUCGAAUAGGGCGGUACCUUGACGGUACCUAACCAGAAAGCCACGGCUAACUACGUGCCAGCAGCCGCGGUAAUACGUAGGUGGCAAGCGUUGUCCGGAAUUAUUGGGCGUAAAGGGCUCGCAGGCGGUUUCUUAAGUCUGAUGUGAAAGCCCCCGGCUCAACCGGGGAGGGUCAUUGGAAACUGGGGAACUUGAGUGCAGAAGAGGAGAGUGGAAUUCCACGU
Molecule: ribosomal RNA, 636 nt
Filed under: Bacillus subtilis
Lineage: Bacteria; Bacillati; Bacillota; Bacilli; Caryophanales; Bacillaceae
Description: bacterial SSU rRNA
Rfam family: Bacterial small subunit ribosomal RNA
Source: RNAcentral